This 492-nucleotide ribosomal RNA is filed under the name uncultured bacterium. Its description in RNAcentral is "partial 16S ribosomal RNA". It matches the Rfam family "Bacterial small subunit ribosomal RNA", at positions 29 to 507 of the family's 1533-position model. The record is from RNAcentral.
AGUGAACGCUGGCGGUAGGCCUAACACAUGCAAGUCGAACGGCAGCACAGUAAGAGCUUGCUCUUACGGGUGGCGAGUGGCGGACGGGUGAGGAAUACAUCGGACUCUACUUUUUCGCGGGGGAUAACGCAGGGAAACUUACGCUAAUACCGCAUACGACCUACGGGUGAAAGCAGGGGAUCUUCGGACCUUGCGCGACUGAAUGAGCCGAUGUCGGAUUAGCUAGUUGGCGGGGUAAAGGCCCACCAAGGCGACGAUCCGUAGCUGGUCUGAGAGGAUGAUCAACCACACUGGAACUGAGGCACAGUCCAGACACCUACGGUCGGCCGCAGUCGGGAAUAUUGGACAAUGGGCGCGAGCCUGAUCCAGCCAUACCGCGUGAGUGAAGAAGGCCUUCGGGUUGUAAAGCCCUUUUGUUGGGAAAGAAGAGCAAUAGGUUAAUACCCCGCUGUUCUGACGGUACCCAAAGAAUAAGCACCGGCUAACUUCGUG